UGUGUGCGUAUAAAUACCAUAGUACACUCUAGUGCCAUGCUGGGGAUGACAACCUAGUAUUCAAGUGGUGUUAGCAAGUGUCAACAAGCAUUUUUGGCACCGUUGCCGGGGAAACGGUUGCUGAGUUGACUACGAACUAGUUUAAUCAUUUUAUAAAUAUAUAUAUAUAUGUAACAAAAAAAAUAAAUAUUUUCCUUUUAUCCUUUGCCUCAUCUCUGCUAUUCUUUCUUCUUAUCUAAUCCUUGAUCUCUGGUCUAUUAUGAAUUCAAACAUGUCUAUCUAUGAAUUUCAUAGACCUAUGGGCACACAUCUCGAACCACCAAAAUCUUCAAAGCCUAUCAUAGCAUCUAGUUUUGAGAUAGACCCCGAAUACAUAGAAUUUAUUCAAAAACAACCUUUCUCAGGAGAAGGUGAGGAAAACCCAUACACACACUGUAACACCCAAAAAUUUGAAUUUCAAUUAAUAGGAUUUAAUUUGAUUUAUUUAAGUAUUUUUGUGAGCAUUUAAUUUAGUGAAUAAAUAAUUUUGUUAAAAUUUAAAAAUUCAUUAUAUGUUAAUAAACUUGAUUGUGCAUUCAUGCUGAGGUAUAUUUUAUUUUGUGCUAAUUUCUUUUGGAUUGGAUUUUGGUUGCUCUCAAAACUCUAUUUUUAAGAAGGCUCUAAAAAAAAAAAAAAAGAAGAGAAGAACCUCCCCAUCUCCCUGUUUCGGCCUGAAAGGCCCAGCAGCCCGCGCCCUGGCCCAUUUCUUCCUACUCGGCCCAGCAGCGCGCGCCUCCCCUCUCCUUGUCUGGAUGACGACCGGGCCCCACGCGUCAGCCUCCUCUCUCACCUUUCCUUCUUCUUCCCCCCGCCGGGACGCGCGCAGGGAAGUUUCCCUCCCCGAUGUCGAACCCGAGCCGCGGAUUUCUUGCCUUUUUUGUGAAAUCAAGUCCUAUAAAGUUCCCCCCUCCAAAGCCACAGUUCCGUUUGCAUCUAAUACGCAAGAAUCAAACCCUAGACGCCACGAACCCAAUCUUGCCGAGGCCGCAUCCAUCCUCCUCCGCGGCGAGCGCUCCAUCCUCCUUCCCAACGCUAACCGAACGCCUAGGUGAGCUCGCAAGGAGUUUCUCUACGUUUCGGUGCUUUCGGUUUGGUUUUUGGUGCUCGGAAACGAGAAGUGGG
RNAcentral lists this long non-coding RNA (1161 nucleotides) under Sorghum bicolor (sorghum). RNAcentral's name for it is "long non-coding RNA (SBIC_LNC008082)". Lineage: Eukaryota; Viridiplantae; Streptophyta; Magnoliopsida; Poales; Poaceae. The record is from RNAcentral.